ACGGAAGGCAGCAGUGAGGAAUAUUGGACAAUGGAGGCAACUCUGAUCCAGCCAAACCGCGUGAAGGAAGACGGUCCUAUGGAUUGUAAACUUCUUUUGUAAGGGGAUAAACCUAGAUAUGUAUAUCUAGCUGAAGGUACCUUACGAAUAAGCAUCGGCUAACUCCGUGCCAGCAGCCGCGGUAAUACGGAGGAUGCAGGCGUUAUCCGGAUUUAUUGGGUUUAAAGGGUGCGCAGGCGGCACGUUAAGUCAGCGGUGAAAUGUCGGGGCUCAACCCGGGCACUGCCGUUGAAACUGGCGAGCUUGAGUACGGAUGAAGUCGGCGGAAUGUGAUGUGUAGCGGUGAAAUGCUUAGAUAUGUCACAGAACACCGAUUGCGAAGGCAGCUGACUAAUCCGCAACUGACGCUCAGGCACGAAAGCGUGGGGAUCGAACAGGAUUAGAUACCCUGGUA
Molecule: ribosomal RNA, 454 nt
Filed under: uncultured Porphyromonadaceae bacterium
Lineage: Bacteria; Pseudomonadati; Bacteroidota; Bacteroidia; Bacteroidales; Porphyromonadaceae
Description: partial 16S ribosomal RNA
Rfam family: Bacterial small subunit ribosomal RNA
Source: RNAcentral